AGCGAACGCUGGCGGCAGGCCUAACACAUGCAAGUCGAACGAACCUUUCGGGGUUAGUGGCGGACGGGUGAGUAACACGUGGGAACGUGCCUUUAGGGUCGGAAUAACUCAGGGAAACUUGUGCUAAUACCGAAUGUGCCCUUCUGGGGGAAGAUUAAUCGCCUUUAGAGGGGCCCUCGUCUGAUUAGCUAGUUGGGUGAGGUAAUGGCUCACCAACGCGACGAUCAGUAGCUGGUCUGAGAGGAUGAUCAGCCACAUUGGGACUGAGACACGGCCCAAACUCCUACGGGAGGCAGCAGUGGGGGAUCUUGCGCAAUGGGCGAAAGCCUGACGCAGUCAUGCCGCGUGAAUGAUGAAGGUCUUAGGAUUGUAAAAUUCUUUCACCGGGGAAGAUAAUGACGGUACCCGGAGAAGAAGCCCCGGCUAACUUCGUG
Molecule: ribosomal RNA, 434 nt
Filed under: uncultured bacterium
Lineage: Bacteria
Description: partial 16S ribosomal RNA
Rfam family: Bacterial small subunit ribosomal RNA
Source: RNAcentral